Molecule: RNA transcript, 1600 nt
Organism: Xenopus tropicalis (tropical clawed frog)
Lineage: Eukaryota; Metazoa; Chordata; Amphibia; Anura; Pipidae
Gene name: histone H3.v1-like
Exons: 3
Source: RefSeq, a predicted model, not a curated record
GUUCAGGAUACUCUGUUCCGCAGUGUUAGUGUUACAGAAUGGCCCGUACCAAGCAGACCGCCCGUAAGUCUACAGGAGGGAAAGCUCCCCGCAAGCAGCUGGCAACCAAAGCAGCCAGGAAGAGCGCUCCGGCCACCGGUGGAGUGAAGAAACCUCACCGUUACCGGCCCGGCACAGUCGCUCUCCGUGAGAUCCGCCGCUACCAGAAAUCCACCGAGCUGCUCAUCCGCAAGCUGCCUUUCCAGCGCCUGGUCCGGGAGAUCGCUCAGGACUUCAAGACCGACCUGCGCUUCCAGAGCUCAGCCGUCAUGGCUCUGCAGGAGGCCAGCGAGGCUUAUCUGGUCGGUCUCUUUGAGGACACCAACCUGUGCGCCAUCCACGCCAAGAGGGUCACCAUCAUGCCCAAGGACAUCCAGCUGGCCCGCAGGAUCCGAGGCGAGAGGGCUUAGAUCAUCGGCAGCUUCUCUCCCAGCAGCACAAAGGCUCUUUUCAGAGCCACCAAAUCCCCAAUCAAACGAGCUGAACUUCUUUGUUUCACUGAUGCAGCCAAUCCCGCCUUUACCCACAAGUAUUUAGAGCUUAGAAUGUCUGAGACCGCUCCCGCCCCUCCCCCGGCUGAACCCGCCGCUGCCAAGAAGAAGCAGCCCAAGAAGGGAGGCGCUAAAGCCAAGAAACCCGCCGGGCCCAGCGCGUCCGAACUGAUCGUGAAAGCCGUGUCCGCCUCUAAGGAGCGCAGCGGGGUGUCCCUGGCCGCUCUCAAGAAGGCUCUGGCUGCCGGAGGCUACGAUGUGGAGAAGAACAACAGCCGCCUCAAGCUGGCUCUCAAGGCCUUGGUCACUAAGGGGACUCUCACCCAAGUCAAGGGGAGCGGAGCCUCCGGAUCCUUCAAGCUGAACAAGAAGCAGCUGGAGAGUAAGGAGAAGGCGGCCAAGAAGAAGCCAGCGGCGCCCAAAGCCAAGAAACCAGCGGCGGCAAAGAAGGCGCUCAAGUCCCCUAAAAAGCCCAAGAAGGUCUCGGCAGCAGCAAAGAGCCCCAAGAAGGUGAAGAAACCGGCAAAGGCCGCCAAAAGCCCCAAGAAGCCCAAAGCUGCCAAACCCAAGAAGGUGGCCAAGAGCCCGGCUAAAAAGUGUUACAGAAUGGCCCGUACCAAGCAGACCGCCCGUAAGUCUACAGGAGGGAAAGCUCCCCGCAAGCAGCUGGCAACCAAAGCAGCCAGGAAGAGCGCUCCGGCCACCGGUGGAGUGAAGAAACCUCACCGUUACCGGCCCGGCACAGUCGCUCUCCGUGAGAUCCGUCGCUACCAGAAAUCCACCGAGCUGCUCAUCCGCAAACUGCCUUUCCAGCGCCUGGUCCGGGAGAUCGCUCAGGACUUCAAGACCGACCUGCGCUUCCAGAGCUCAGCCGUCAUGGCUCUGCAGGAGGCCAGCGAGGCUUAUCUGGUCGGUCUCUUUGAGGACACCAACCUGUGCGCCAUCCACGCCAAGAGGGUCACCAUCAUGCCCAAGGACAUCCAGCUGGCCCGCAGGAUCCGAGGCGAGAGGGCUUAGAUCAUCGGCAGCUUCUCUCCCAGCAGCACAAAGGCUCUUUUCAGAGCCCCCAA